AGAGUUUGAUCCUGGCUCAGGAUGAACGCUAGCUACAGGCUUAACACAUGCAAGUCGAGGGGCAGCGAGAAGGAAGCUUGCUUUCUUUGUCGGCGACCGGCGCACGGGUGAGUAACGCGUAUCCAACCUUCCCUAUACUAGAGGAUAGCCCGGCGAAAGUCGGAUUAAUACUCUAUGUUAUUCAAUGCGGACAUCUAAGUUGAAUCAAAGAUUUAUCGGUAUAGGAUGGGGAUGCGUCUGAUUAGGUUGUUGGCGGGGUAACGGCCCACCAAGCCUACGAUCAGUAGGGGUUCUGAGAGGAAGGUCCCCCACAUUGGAACUGAGACACGGUCCAAACUCCUACGGGAGGCAGCAGUGAGGAAUAUUGGUCAAUGGGCGCGAGCCUGAACCAGCCAAGUAGCGUGCAGGAUGACGGCCCUAUGGGUUGUAAACUGCUUUUAUACGGGGAUAAAGUGAGGGACGUGUCCUUUAUUGUAGGUACCGUAUGAAUAAGGACCGGCUAAUUCCGUGCCAGCAGCCGCGGUAAUACGGAAGGUCCGGGCGUUAUCCGGAUUUAUUGGGUUUAAAGGGAGCGCAGGCCGAUGGUUAAGCGUGACGUGAAAUGUAGCCGCUCAACGGCUGAACUGCGUCGCGAACUGGCUAUCUUGAGUGAGUUCGAUGUUGGCGGAAUUCGUGGUGUAGCGGUGAAAUGCUUAGAUAUCACGAAGAACUCCGAUUGCGAAGGCAGCCAACAAGGCCUUUACUGACGCUAAAGCUCGAAGGUGCGGGUAUCGAACAGGAUUAGAUACCCUGGUAGUCCGCACGGUAAACGAUGGAUGCCCGCUGUUUGCGAUAUACUGUGAGCGGCCAAGAGAAAUCGUUAAGCAUCCC
This 870-nucleotide ribosomal RNA is filed under the name uncultured rumen bacterium. Its description in RNAcentral is "bacterial SSU rRNA". It matches the Rfam family "Bacterial small subunit ribosomal RNA", at positions 8 to 870 of the family's 1533-position model. The record is from RNAcentral.